UCUCAAUAUGAGAAAGACGUUUAUUUUUUUGUGAAAAAAAACAGAUGCGGAAGAUACCAAGGGAAAAGUAAAAUCACAAAAACACUAAACUCCGAAAAACAUUCAAAAAGGAAAGUCCAAUAUCAAAUAGCAAUAUCAAAAAGCUCAAACACAUCAAUCGGAUGGAUAACCAGUGUAAUAUUUCUGACUUGAAGUUUCAAGAUUCGAAAAGGACAGAAACUGGUGCCUUUCAGACAAGGAACGAAAUUUUUGAGAUCAAGAGGAUCGUUCACGAAAUAUUACUCCAUCACAGAAAGCAUACGAUCUUUACAUUUUUGUGUAUAAUUCAGCAGGACUGGGGUCUGAUUAGUUUCCAUCAUAAAUGACUGGUUUCUACAUAUACCUGAAUGGCACGACAACAGAAGUGUACCAAUAAAGGCAUGGAUGGGUAUUCUACUCCAUUUCAAAAUUGCUGAAAAUGCUUGAAGAAAGCAUGACAGCAUUACAAAUGCAGUGGGAGCAUUCACAAGACUGUUGGUUAACAACAAUAGAUCCAACAACUGAAACAAUUACCUUGAAGAAUAUAUAGAGGAUGUUAAAUAGAAAAAAAAAGAUUUAAAAGGUAGAAGAUUUCUUUACUGGGCCAGUUUAAAUUCCCAUACAGAAGAUCAGCUAACAUCUGAAAUACAUUUCAACAGUCGUUUACGGAGAUAUUGUACUGAAGUAAUUCUUGUAAAAAUCGUGAGUAAACUAGAAUCAUUGCAAGGAAACUUAUAGGAGUUCGGUAAGUAUAUUCAAUUGCACAGGUAGGUAUGGAUGCUUUAAUUUUUCCUUUUAUUUCAGAUAUGGGUAAGUUUUGAUCGCUUUCUUGUACUAACAUUGUCUGCUUAUAACACUAGUAUAAUGGAAUGCAAUUUAUUAUUAUAAAGAUAAAUAUGAAGGAAGGCAUGCACAUUUAGAAAUUCUAAAUUUAAAAGCGUUUUGUUAAGUUAUGGAAUAUCACAUGCAACUAUCUAAUGAGAACAGUGAUGUUAUUUUUUUCAUUGGCAUACCAGUUUUAAAUAAAUGGCACACUUUAAUGAAGGAUAUAUAUUUGUAAAAUUAUCGUUACUGGCGUAAUUACAGGUUGAUGGAAGAUAUCUUUAAAUGUGCAAACUUUAUUUCAUUAGCAAGGAAUGCAUAUUUUGUGUAUUUUUAUCUUUGAAAACUAAAAAGAUCGAUAUACAAACAAAUAACUUAAAAGUAAUUUUACCAAUUACGGAUUAGAUUUUGUAAUUACACACUUUAAGAUAUUGUGUGACCCUUUGACAAUUGCAUUAACGACUGGUUCUAGAUUUGACAAAAAUAGUAUACUUCUCAUGCAAAGCAAAGGUUUUGAUCUAAACAAAAGAUAACACAUAAUAUGCACAGAAAAAUUUGGGUUGAUUGCUAGCUGUUUAUAAAACUUAAGUCAUUACUAAGGAAAGCAUCUUAAAUUACAGGGUCAAUUGUGGAAUUAGCAAAUAGACUAUUGAUAGAUAUAUCUUUUAUUUUUUUCUUCUAAUCUUUAAAUUUAUUUGUUUUAAAUAUACAACACAAAAUAUGCAAUCCCUUUUGGCACUAAUCAUGCGCAAACCUCUUUGUUUGAUAGGUUUAAUUCAAGAAAGAGGUUUCUACCAAAUUAACAACUACAAAUGGGAACUUUAAAUUUAAUUAAUUUUGUAGGCUUCAAUUUACAAACCAAUUUUCAAAAAUUAAGUUAAUUUUUUUAUCAAACUUAGAAUAAAGUUCUCAUUUUAUAUAUAACACCGAUAUUACCUUGUACUGACAUUUCUUUUUCAGGUUUAAACGCAAUCAAAAUUUAUAUCUACAAAAUGAUAUUGAUGAGUUAAAAGCCAUAUCAAAAUAAAAUCGUUCGAAGCCAUUUUUAUUCUUUGACAUCCUUUAAGCUACAGAUAGGACAACGUAACUACUAUCUGAUGCUUCAACAUUGAACUAGACCAGGUUGUGGUUAAAAUCAAAAAUUAAACGCUUGUUUGAGACCAUUCGUACAUUUUGGACACCUCAUUUUAUUAGUUUAGCAUUCGGUUUUGUUUAUCUUUCGGAUCAAACGAAGCGAUUGACAAAUUGUCAUGACAAAACUUUCAGUUUAGAAGAAAAUUUUCC
This is a long non-coding RNA of Mytilus trossulus (common blue mussel), 2124 nucleotides long. RefSeq lists it as uncharacterized. The transcript is spliced from 6 exons. The record is from RefSeq and is a predicted model, not a curated record. Lineage: Eukaryota; Metazoa; Mollusca; Bivalvia; Mytilida; Mytilidae.